UACGGGGGGAGCAAGCGUUGUUCGGAUUUACUGGGCGUAAAGGGCGCGUAGGCGGCGUGACAAGUCACUUGUGAAAUCUCUGGGCUUAACCCAGAACGGCCAAGUGAAACUGUUGUGCUAGAGUGCAGAAGGGGCAAUCGGAAUUCUCGGUGUAGCGGUGAAAUGCGUAGAUAUCGAGAGGAACACCAGAGGUGAAGACGGGUUGCUGGGCUGACACUGACGCUGAGGCGCGAAAGCCAGGGGAGCAAACGGG
RNAcentral lists this ribosomal RNA (253 nucleotides) under uncultured bacterium. RNAcentral describes it as "partial 16S ribosomal RNA". It matches the Rfam family "Bacterial small subunit ribosomal RNA", at positions 524 to 776 of the family's 1533-position model. The record is from RNAcentral.